Molecule: ribosomal RNA, 253 nt
Filed under: uncultured bacterium
Lineage: Bacteria
Description: partial 16S ribosomal RNA
Rfam family: Bacterial small subunit ribosomal RNA
Source: RNAcentral
UCCCGCGGUCUCCCUCGUUGUUCGGAUUCAUUGGGCGUAAAGGGUGCGUAGGUGGCGCCGUAAGUGGGGUGUGAAAUCUCGGGGCUUAACUCCGAAACUGCAUUCCAUACUGCGGUGCUCGAGGACUGGAGAGGAGACUGGAAUUUACGGUGUAGCAGUGAAAUGCGUAGAGAUCGGAAGGAGGACCAGUGGCGAAGGCGGGUCUCUGGACAGUUCCUGACGCUGAGGCACGAAAGCCAGGGGAGCAAACGGG